Malurus melanocephalus (red-backed fairy wren) is the source of this 208-nucleotide long non-coding RNA. RefSeq lists it as uncharacterized. The record is from RefSeq and is a predicted model, not a curated record. Lineage: Eukaryota; Metazoa; Chordata; Aves; Passeriformes; Maluridae. The transcript has 3 exons.
UACGACAGCAAACUGGCCUGGUUCGACCUGGACCUGUCCACGCGGCCGUACCGGCUCCUGCGGCACCACCGCCGCGCUCUCCGCUCCGUGGCGUUCCAUCGCCGGUAUCCGCUCUUCGCCUCCGCCUCCGACGAUGGCACCGUCAUCGUCUGCCACGGAAUGGUCUACAAUGACCUGCUGCAGAACGCGCUGCUGGUGCCGCUCCAGG